This 515-nucleotide ribosomal RNA is filed under the name uncultured microorganism. RNAcentral's name for it is "bacterial SSU rRNA". It matches the Rfam family "Bacterial small subunit ribosomal RNA", at positions 9 to 505 of the family's 1533-position model. The record is from RNAcentral.
GAGUUUGAUCUUGGCUCAGGAUGAACGCUGGCGGCGUGCCUAAUACAUGCAAGUCGAGCGAACGGACGAGAAGCUUGCUUCUCUGAUGUUAGCGGCGGACGGGUGAGUAACCACGUGGAUAACCUACCUAUAAGACUGGGAUAACUUCGGGAAACCGGAGCUAAUACCGGAUAAUAUUUUGAACCGCAUGGUUCAAAAGUGAAAGACGGUCUUGCUGUCACUUAUAGAUGGAUCCGCGCUGCAUUAGCUAGUUGGUAAGGUAACGGCUUACCAAGGCAACGAUGCAUAGCCGACCUGAGAGGGUGAUCGGCCACACUGGAACUGAGACACGGUCCAGACUCCUACGGGAGGCAGCAGUAGGGAAUCUUCCGCAAUGGGCGAAAGCCUGACGGAGCAACGCCGCGUGAGUGAUGAAGGUCUUCGGAUCGUAAAGCUCUGUUAUUAGGGAAGAACAUAUGUGUAAGUAACUGUGCACAUCUUGACGGUACCUAAUCAGAAAGCCACGGCUAACUACG